RNAcentral lists this microRNA precursor (251 nucleotides) under Medicago truncatula (barrel medic). RNAcentral's name for it is "MIR2655 microRNA precursor family". It matches the Rfam family "MIR2655 microRNA precursor family". Lineage: Eukaryota; Viridiplantae; Streptophyta; Magnoliopsida; Fabales; Fabaceae. The record is from Rfam by way of RNAcentral.
CCCUUAACUACUAAAAGUUUCAUUUUGGUCCCUUAACUUAUUUUUUGGUUUCGUUUUGGUCCCUUAACUCUUCCUCCGUCAACCACUUUGGUCCUUUAUGUUAGGAUGAAUGUAUUAGAGUUAAGGGACCAAAAUGAAACCAAAAAAUAAGUUAAGGGACCAAAACGAAACCAAAAAAUAAGUUAAGGGACCAAAACGAAACCAAAAAAAUAAGUUAAUGGACCAAAACGAAACUUUUAAUAGUUAAGGGA